ACUAGCAGUAAGAGUUUGAUCAUGGCUCAGAACGAACGCUGGCGGCAUGCCUAACACAUGCAAGUCGAACGGGAUCAUGGGGCUUGCUCCAUGAUCUAGUGGCGCACGGGUGAGUAACGCGUGGGAACCUGCCCUCGAGUGGGGAAUAACGACGGGAAACUGUCGCUAAUACCGCAUACGUCCUUCGGGAGAAAGGCUUCGGCCGCUCAAGGAUGGUCCCGCGUCCGAUUAGCUAGUUGGUGAGGUAACGGCUCACCAAGGCGACGAUCGGUAGCUGGUCUGAGAGGAUGAUCAGCCACACUGGGACUGAGACACGGCCCAGACUCCUACGGGAGGCAGCAGUGGGGAAUAUUGGACAAUGGGGGAAACCCUGAUCCAGCAAUGCCGCGUGAGUGAAGAAGGCCUUAGGGUUGUAAAGCUCUUUCAGACGUGACGAUGAUGACGGUAGCGUCAGAAGAAGCCCCGGCUAACUUCGUGCCAGCCGCCGCGGUAAUAC
Molecule: ribosomal RNA, 496 nt
Filed under: uncultured bacterium
Lineage: Bacteria
Description: bacterial SSU rRNA
Rfam family: Bacterial small subunit ribosomal RNA
Source: RNAcentral